This 484-nucleotide ribosomal RNA is filed under the name uncultured bacterium. RNAcentral's name for it is "partial 16S ribosomal RNA". It matches the Rfam family "Bacterial small subunit ribosomal RNA", at positions 30 to 507 of the family's 1533-position model. The record is from RNAcentral.
AUUGAACGCUGGCGGCAGGCCUAACACAUGCCAGUCGAGCGGAUGAAGGGAGCUUGCUCCUGGAUUCAGCGGCGGACGGGUGAGUAAUGCCUAGGAAUCUGCCUGGUAGUGGGGGAUAACGUCCGGAAACGGGCGCUAAUACCGCAUACGUCCUGAGGGAGAAAGUGGGGGAUCUUCGGACCUCACGCUAUCAGAUGAGCCUAGGUCGGAUUAGCUAGUUGGUGGGGUAAAGGCCUACCAAGGCGACGAUCCGUAACUGGUCUGAGAGGAUGAUCAGUCACACUGGAACUGAGACACGGUCCAGACUCCUACGGGAGGGAGCAGUGGGGAAUAUUGGACAAUGGGCGAAAACCUGAUCCAGCCAUGCCGCGUGUGUGAAGAAGGUCUUCGGAUUGUAAAGCACUUUAAGUUGGGAGGAAGGGCAGUAAGUUAAUACCUUGCUGUUUUGACGUUACCAACAGAAUAAGCACCGGCUAACUUCGUG